GGGCAGCAGUCGCGAAAACUCCGCAAUACGCGAAAGCGUGACGGGGCUACCCCGAGUGUCGUCCGCUGAGGACGACUUUUCCACGCUGUAAGGAGGCGUGGGAAUAAGGAGAGGGCAAGUCUGGUGUCAGCCGCCGCGGUAAUACCAGCUCUCCGAGUGGUAGGGACGAUUAUUGGGCUUAAAGCGUCCGUAGCCGGCUCAGCAAGUCUCCCGUUAAAUCCAACGAUUCAAUCGUUGGACUGCGGGAGAUACUGUUGAGCUAGGAGGCGGGAGAGGCCGACGGUAUUCCCGGAGUAGGGGUGAAAUCUUAUAAUUCCGGGAGUACCACCAGUGGCGAAGGCUAUCGACUAAAACUCACUCUACUAUGACUUACGAAAGCUGGGGGAGCGAACCGGAUUAGAUACCCGGGUAGUCC
This 415-nucleotide ribosomal RNA is filed under the name uncultured crenarchaeote. Its description in RNAcentral is "partial 16S ribosomal RNA". It matches the Rfam family "Archaeal small subunit ribosomal RNA", at positions 330 to 747 of the family's 1478-position model. Lineage: Archaea; Thermoproteati; Thermoproteota. The record is from RNAcentral.